Molecule: unclassified non-coding RNA, 326 nt
Filed under: uncultured Microascaceae
Lineage: Eukaryota; Fungi; Ascomycota; Sordariomycetes; Microascales
Description: sequence contains ITS1
Rfam family: 5.8S ribosomal RNA (bases 1-105)
Source: RNAcentral
GAAAUGCGAUAAGUAAUGUGAAUUGCAGAAUUCAGUGAAUCAUCGAAUCUUUGAACGCACAUUGCGCCCGGCAGUAAUCUGCCGGGCAUGCCUGUCCGAGCGUCAUUUCAGCCCUCGAACCACUAUUCACGUAGCUGGAUCGGUGUUGGGACACUACGGUGGAAUACCCGUAGGCCCCUAAAUGAAGUGGCGGUCCCGCCGCGGCGCCCCCAUGCGUAGUAACUUUCAGUCUCGCAUCGGGUCCCGGCGGAGGCCUGCCGUCAAGCCUAUUUUAUCUUUACAGAUGGUUUGACCUCGGAUCAGGUAGGGUUACCCGCUGAACUUAA